GGAGAGGUGGCUGAGUGGCCGAAAGCGGCACCUUGCUAAGGUGUUAGAGACGCAAGUCUCUCGUGGGUUCGAAUCCCACCCUCUCCGCCA
Molecule: transfer RNA, 90 nt
Filed under: Patescibacteria group bacterium
Lineage: Bacteria
Description: tRNA-Ser
Rfam family: tRNA
About the family: Transfer RNA (tRNA) molecules are approximately 80 nucleotides in length. Their secondary structure includes four short double-helical elements and three loops (D, anti-codon, and T loops). Further hydrogen bonds mediate the characteristic L-shaped molecular structure. tRNAs have two regions of fundamental functional importance: the anti-codon, which is responsible for specific mRNA codon recognition, and the 3' end, to which the tRNAs corresponding amino acid is attached (by aminoacyl-tRNA synthetases). tRNAs cope with the degeneracy of the genetic code in two manners: having more than one tRNA (with a specific anti-codon) for a particular amino acid; and 'wobble' base-pairing, i.e. permitting non-standard base-pairing at the 3rd anti-codon position.
Source: RNAcentral